This 7827-nucleotide long non-coding RNA is filed under the name Lotus japonicus. RNAcentral's name for it is "long non-coding RNA (LJAP_LNC001783)". Lineage: Eukaryota; Viridiplantae; Streptophyta; Magnoliopsida; Fabales; Fabaceae. The record is from RNAcentral.
UGAAAAUAGGUGAGACAAUGGGAUAUAAAAAGGGAGAAAUCAUGUAAGUGCAAGAGGCAGAAGAAGAGAAACAAUCUAUCUUCUUCCAAAUAAAAAAUAAAGGAAGGAGAUAGGAAAGGGUUGAAAAGGAUAAAAAAAAAAUUACAUUAGAUACAUUGUUGGCUGAAGGAAAAAAAUUCAAAAAAAUGGCUCGUGGAGCGAUUAUUGCAUCCAUGCUCUGCCUUCUGGCUGUAGCAGUGGUGGCUGAAGACCCUUAUAUCUAUUACACAUGGAAUGUGACCUACGGUACCAUUUCACCUCUUGGAAUCCCCCAACAGGGUAUCCUCAUCAAUGGUUUGUUCCCAGGACCUGAAAUCAACUCCACCAGCAACAACAACAUUGUCAUCAACGUGUUCAACAACCUUGACGAGCCAUUGUUGUUCACAUGGAGCGGUAUCCAGCAGAGGAAAAACUCAUGGCAAGAUGGUACAUUGGGAACUCAGUGCCCCAUCCAGCCAGGAACCAACUACACAUACAAGUUCCAGGUCAAGGACCAGAUCGGUAGCUACUUCUACUACCCCUACACCGGCCUCCAGAGAGCCGCCGGUGGAAUCGGUGGUUUGAGAAUCUACUCCAGGUUGUUGAUCCCUGUCCCAUAUGCUGACCCUGCUGAUGAAUACUGGGUCCUCAUGGGUGACUGGUACGCCAAGCCCCACACCACCCUCCAGAAGUUUUUGGACAGUGGUCGUAGCCUUGGAAGGCCAGAUGGCGUCCACAUCAUGGGUAAAAAUGGUAGCCCAGUCCCACUCUACACCAUGGAGCCUGGAAAGACCUACAAGUACAGGCUCUGCAAUGUGGGUAUGAAGGACUCCCUUAACUUCAGAAUCCAAGGCCACCCAUUGAAGCUUGUUGAGAUGGAAGGCUCCCAUGUGGUGCAAAACGUCUACGACUCCCUCGACAUCCAUGUUGGUCAGUGCUACUCUGUCCUCGUGACUGCCGACCAGGAACCAAAACAAUACAAGAUGGUCGCCUCCACACGCUUCACCAAGAAGGUGUUGUCCGCCACCGCUCUCAUCACCUACUCUAACGGUAACGGUCCCGCCUCCCCUGAGCUCCCACCUGCACCUGAAGGCUGGGCCUGGUCCCUCAACCAGUUCCGUUCCUUCCGUUGGAACUUAACCGCUAGUGCUGCCAGGCCUAACCCUCAAGGCUCUUACCACUACGGCCAGAUCAACAUCACCCGAACCAUCAAGCUCGUGAACACCGUCUCUAGGGCUAACGGAAAACUCCGAUACGGAAUCAACGGUGUGUCCCACGUUGACAACGAAACCCCACUCAAGCUCGCCGAGUACUUCGGUGUUGCUGACAAGGUUUUCAAGUACAACAUCAUCUCCGAUGAGCCCCCGGCAACCAUCGGUGACCUCACCUUGGCUCCCAAUGUCAUUAACGCCACUUUCCGUACCUUCAUCGAGAUCAUCUUCGAGAACCCCACAAAGGUUGUUCAGUCAUACAACUUGGAUGGUUACUCCUUCUUCCUUGCCGCAGUUGAGCCAGGGAAAUGGACACCCGAGAAGAGGAAGAACUACAACCUUUUAGAUACAGUGAGCAGGCACACCGUUCAGAUAUACCCCAAGUCAUGGGCAGCAAUCAUGCUUACAUUCGACAACGCUGGCAUGUGGAACUUGAGGUCAGAGCACACCGAGAACCGCUACCUUGGUCAACAAUUGUACAUCAGUGUCUUGUCUCCUGAACGCUCUCUCAGGGAUGAGUACAACAUUCCAGAAACCCAGCUCCUUUGCGGCAUCGUCAAGGAUAUGCCCAAGCCCGCACCCUACUCUUAAGCAUUUAUCAACCUGCAUUAAGACGAUGUAUUAGCUUUAUUUUGUAGCUGAUGUAUCCACCGACCCUUUCCUGAAUGCCACAAAUUUUCAGCUCCAUAUGUAUACACAUAUAUAAUAUGAAUGUCAAAUUCUCCUUCCAAUCCACUUCUAUGUGGGUUUUGUCAUGGAAUAUGUACACACAUCAGUUCUUUCAUUAAUUUCAAGUGACGGAAAUUAAACUUUACUCAAGCUAGAGCUACUACGACCUGAGCUCACACCAUAAGCAGAAGGAUAUAUAAUUGAACUAACCAAAAGAACUAAAUAUUAAGAAGAAAUUAUUAGUCUGUUUGUGCUGGUUUGGGUGGGUUGUGCCCAGAGGCGGACCCAGAAAUUUUGUGACACCUGGGCAAAAUUUUCACAUCGUCUUGAAUAUUUGGAGGAUACUCAUUAAUUUGUUUCCUACGCCCUGGAUCACGCACAAUCUCAUUCGGAUGAAACUCAUUGACCACAUUAGGCGAUGGUUCUACUUCGGCUUCCGGUUGUACAACAUUCACAUUCUCAAUACUUGCUCUAGGAACCAAGAACUUCCUCAUCUCUAAAAUUUAAUGAUCUAAAGAAACAACAAAGAAAAGCACAAUUAGAAAUUAUGAUCAAAUUAAAAAAGCACUAAAAACAACACUAAUAAAUAAAAAUGAAAAGGAGACAAUCUAUAUUCACAUGAUUAGUAUAUUGGAUGUACAAAAAAUGGAAGAGAAGAGAUCAUGGACCACAAGCAAUUACCAAAUUUUGGACCACAAGCAAUUACUAAAUUGAAUUGAAUACAUUACACAUUAUACAAUAUACAUGGCAAAUGGCAAUUGUUGGCAAGUGGCAAACCGCAUCUCAUGACUCAUGUAAUCUGUCUCUCACACUUUUCUAACUUAUCCUUCACACACUCACAUAGUCACACAUGACACAUACAAUUAAUAUUUGAUUCAAGAAUACCAAACCCAACUCACUCACGCAUCUCUCACUCUCUGUCUCACUUUUCCCUUUUUUUUUUACCUUUUCUGCCUUAACCUUUCUCUCAGUCUCUCACUCAGUCUCUCUCACCGCUCACCUCCUCUCCUCUGUUCCUCUCGACAACGCCCACGCCACGCCUCACCCACACGACACGCAGGCCGCAACCGCGCCCUCACCCACACCGGCACACGCAGGCCGCAGCCACGCCCACGCCCUCACCACCCACCGCCUCAGGCGGCCCUCACCCACGCCCUCACACCACAGCCCACAGGUCUCACUCACGGCACACCCCCUCACAGAGUCACAAUAGGAUAUUGAGAUUUACAGAGCAAAUAAGUUUGAAGCUAGGAUGGAGAAAUCAGAGAGAAAGAGACCUGAUUCCUGAAGAUUGAAGCUUGAAGAGUAAGAGUACUCAGAGAGAAAUGAAGAUUGCUGAAGAUUGAAGGGAAGCCUGAAGAUUGAAGCCUGAAGAUUGAAGUCAAUUGAAGUCUGAGAAGGAAAUUGAAGCGUGAUUUGAAGCCUGAAGGGAGAAAGUGAGUAGGAAAUUGAGAAUAGGGUUUCUAUUUUAUUAUUUUCCCCUUUCUUUUCCCCUUUAUAAAAUAGUCCUCAAUUUUACCCCAACCUUUAAAUUUUGCCCUUUUUUAUUUUUUUUUUGAGGCCCAAAAGAUGAUGUGGUCCAAAGAAAAAAAUUUUUUUUUGGUCAGAGCUUGGGCAUUUGCCCUAGGUAGCCAGGCGCUCAAUCCGCCUCUGGUUGUGCCUAUAUACUAGCUAAUAUCGGCAUUUGUUUCGUUUUUUAUUUGUAUUUUCCCUUUGCUAAAUUUUGUACUUUGUUCGUGGGUUUGAAGUACCCUUUUACUUCCUUUAAUAAAAUGUUUCUAUAAAAAAAAAAAAGAAUAAUAGAGCGAUCAAAUGGAAAUGUAUAUGCUUAAUACGGAUUCAAAAUUCUAAACAUUCGUUCGUGGUGUAUAAAAUGCACUGUUUAUAAGUUAUUUUACAAUGAUGAGCCAUUAAAUUGUUUUCUAAUUUUUUCCCGAGUAAUGAUAUAUACACACCUCCUUAUUUAUACACUUCAUUUCCACCUAUUUUUAUUUCUAUCUCUCUCCUCUUAUCAUCUAUCAUAUCUUAUACUUUCUCUUUCUUACUUUUUAUUUUCUUCCUAUCUCUCUCCUCCUCCACCUCUUUCCACCUCAAUUUAGAGGUGUGGACAAAUAAUUAUUGAUUUUUUCCCUAUUGUGUUGUUUGGAUAUAUACAAUUGCAUACGUGUCAUGUGUACUUGUCAUUUUAUAGAUUUAAAUAUGUUUUUAUCAUGACUUAUAUACACUUAUAAUAUAAUACUAGUGUUUUUUUCCCGUGCGUUGCACGGAAAAUAUAUCUAUUGUUUUUUAUACAUCAAUUAAUCAUGAAUGUGAUUAUGCGAGUUCAUUUUCAGUUUUUUUUAAUUCUAAGUUAUUUAUGUUUUAAUUUUUUUAAAGUUGUUCUCAAUAUGUGUUCAGGGAACACGUGUCUACAAUAUCUUAGAUAAUUAGGGACAACCCUUUAAAAUUUAAUGGAUUAUAAUCUCAGCACUACAUAUUUUAUUUUCAAUCAUAUUGUAGAUCAUGAGAAAGAAUAAAAGGAGAAAUCAAAGGAUUCCUGUAAAUAUGCAGUAAAUUAGACUUGAGACUUUUCCAAAUUUAAAGAGAUAAUGAAAAUGGUUUCAAGAUUUGUUUUGGAAAUAAAUUUAGUAAGGAGUAAUCUAGGUUAUUCUUAGAUAAUUAGGGCAAAUCUUUAAAAAUUCGGUUUUAAGAUAAAAUAACACAACAGAAGAGAAACUAUCUAAUGGAAUGACACGUGAAUAUUUUUUUUAUGGGAAUUAACCUGAGAAUGACAAGUGAAUUUUUUUUUAUGAGAAUUAACAUGAGAAUGACAUGUCACUAAAUCAGCCUGAUAUAAGUUAUUCUUUUCUAUUGUAUAUAUAUUGGUUGAUGGUAUUCGAAAGAAAAAUCCUCUUUUUUCCCCUAAAUAAUUUUGUUUUAUUUAAAAUGGUUCCUCUAAUGUCAUAAUGCGAACAAAGGUUAUAGGAAAUUAAAGUUUGUGUGGGGAUAGACUGUAAGGAGCUUGUUUCUCUUGCGAUUGAUACUAACAGAGACAGAAUCCGAGUCCAUCCUCAAGCCUCCAUUAUCCGUGAUAUUAAGAUUCUCCUGGAUUUGGAUUGGCGGGUUGAGCUUUCCUGGAUUCCCAAUGAAGCCAAUGUUGCGGCUGAUUGCUUGACCUAACAGGGCGCUCAUUCAUCCCUUCCUGGGUUGCAUAUGGUGACUAAUGUUGCUCCUGAGUUAGACUGGUUGAUCCUUAAGGAUGCCUUAGUUGUUCCUUAGUUUGUUGUUGCUCUGUUGUCAUUUUUCCGAAGCACCAAAAAAAUAAUAAUGCUUAUUUGUCAUUUUUUAGUUGGGAUAAAUAUGUAUUUGGUUCUUAAACUAUAGCGAAUUAUUAUUAUUAGUCCCUGAAUUAAUUUUUCAUUGAAAUCCAUCCCUUAACUUGUUGGCGUGUGAGGUUUUGGUCCCUCGAGUCAUUUGAAUGAUUACGUAGCAUAGUGACGUGUAUGUAUUUUAUGAUGUGUUAUUUUUAGUCUAAAAUUUCAGUUCAAAUAUUUUGUGUGCUUUCUCCUUUGUGACAAUUUUAAGCACUUAAAAAUCAAGUCUUUAACCAUAAAAUUUUCCAUCUAUUUUCUCAACUUCUCUCCAAAUUUUCUUUUUAAGACUUUAUCACUAAUUGCAUAUUCAAUUAAACAUCAUUUUUAAGACAAGUUUUAGAAUAAAAAUAUUCUCCUUUUCCAUGCAUAGUCUCGCUCAUACAUUCCUAACUAUCAUGAUUGAUUAUCUUUAAAAUCAACUAACAGAAGGUAAAUCUAUGAUGAAAAAUAAUUCAAAGUUUAAAAACAAGACUUUAAUCAUUAAGAAAUUUCACAAGACUUAAACUUUAAGGAAUCAAAUUAGAGGUCUAGUAUGCUUUUGCAAAAUCGAAUAAGAAACCUCACUCUAUAUUGGAAUAGGCUUUUGCAAAAUCCAGUUUAACAAAAUGCCACCUUCAUCCAUUUUCUUCAACAAAUCAACUAUUUCAUUUGCUUUAUACAAUGCAAUUAGCUAUUUGCCUCUUUCUUUUUAUCUUGUUAUUGCUUCUUUUUGUUUCUUUAUGCUUUUGUGAGAUACUAUAUUCUUGACUCAUAGUUUUUUUUUUUUUUUUUGAAAUAAGAAUGAACUUUCAAUAAUACGGGAAAUCAGAACAAGCUACAUCCAUGAUGUUUGGAGGGACAUACCCCAUCGAAAUUGAAUCAGAAGAAGAACAAGCUAUAUUAGCAAGAAAAUGAGCAAGGUUAUUCUGUGUUCUAAAAACAUGAGAAACAGAAAAAAAACUCAAAACCAGAAACUAAGCUACAGCAAUCAUCAAUGAUAAGUUGGAGAUCUGGGGAAAGCUGUCCAGCCCGAAAACCACGCGCAACAACAAGGGAAUCUGUCUCAGCCAGAACUCUGGUAAAACCAUGAUGCACCAUGAGUGUGAAUGCCCACCUCAAAGCCAAGGCUUCAGCCAUAGAAAUACUUACCUCAACCUUACAUCUACUGCAAGCAGCCAUAACCACCAAACCAGUAUGAUCCCUAAGGACACACCCCAUACCGAGCCACCCUUCCUUGAUGCUGGCAUCAACAUUUAAUUUGAGUUUCCCUACAUCUGGAGGCUGCCAUCUUCUCAACUCUUUGGGUUUCUUCUGCCUUAUGUGCCCCUCAUUCCUUGAAAUGAACUCUCUAUCAAAAAGAGAAGCAACCUGAAAAGCUCUUACAGGAUCAGCAACCUUUCCUGAAAAACAUAAGUCAUUCCGAGCCUUCCAAAUGGACCAUAACACAUGACAAAUCAAGGACAAGUGGUCACAAUCAUUCAACCCCAACAGAUUUUGAAACCAAGAAACCACCUCAGCCGAAUUGAGAACACAGUGGGAUAAACCCGACCCAAACCAUACAGCCCUGGAAAAUUCACACUCAAGAAACAAAUGAUGCAAUGACUCAGAAGCACCACAACAAAGGGGACAAACAAUAUCCAGAGCAAUACCUUUUUUCACAAGAUUUUCCCUAGUAGGCAAAAUCCUAUUCAUCAAUUUCCAGAGAAAAAUUCUGAUUUUAUGAGGAACAUCAACCUUCCACAAAUCAUUCCAAGUUGAACAAGGAAGAAAAGAACUAGAAGCACCAGGGCCAGAACUUGAACAUGAACUGAGCAUUUGAUAGGCAGAUUUAACAGUGUAAUUCCCAUCAUUGGACCAAUGCCAAGCAAACUUGUCUUCAGGGAGCCUAAUCGAAAGAGGAAUUGAUAGAAUCUUAUCAGCCUCAAAACCCAUAAAGGAGGACUUAAUUAAGUCCUCAUUCCACCUUUUCUGCUCAAAAUCGAUAAGCAUACUGACCUUAGCAUCCUUAGGCAGAUCAAUUGCAGGACUCCAGACCUUAAACCCUGACUGAUUAGGCAACCAACCAUCCUGGAAAACUCUGACAGAUUUACCAUUCCCAAUAGUCCACCUAGAGCCUUUAGAAAUCACAUGCCUCGCAGCUAGAAUACUCCUCCAAGAAAAACUAGGAAGAUACCCCAACUUAGCAUCCAUAAAAGAAGUCCUUGGGUGGUAUCUACUCUUAAAAAUCUGAGCAACCAAAGAAUCAGCCCUGUUAAUCAGCCUCCAACAUUGCUUACCGAGUAUUGCAUCAUUAAAUUUUCUAAGGCACCUAAACCCCAAACCUCCAACAGCCUUUGAUCUCUUAAGCCUUUCCCAACUCAUCCAAUGAAUUCCUUUAUCCUUAGAAUUAUUUCCCCACCAAAACCUAGCCAUCAUACUCUCCAUAGCUGAAACACACCCUUCAGGAAGCUUAAAACAGCUCAUCACAUAGGUGGGAAUCGCUUGCGCAACAGACUUCAAUAAAACCUCCUUGCCCGCACUUGAUAAAUGCCUCUCCUUCCACCCCUUUAACCUCUUCCAUAUCCUAUCCUAGACUAGAGAGAACACCACUUUCUUUG